UACGUAGGGUGCAAGCGUUGCUCGGAAUUACUGGGCGUAAAGGGAGCGUAGGCGGACAUUUAAGUCAGGGGUGAAAUCCCGAGGCUCAACCUCGGAACUGCCUUUGAUACUGGAUGUCUUGAGUGUGAGAGAGGUGAGUGGAACUCCGAGUGUAGAGGUGAAAUUCGUAGAUAUUCGGAAGAACACCAGUGGCGAAGGCGACUCACUGGCUCAUUACUGACGCUGAGGCUCGAAAGCGUGGGGAGCAAACAGG
Molecule: ribosomal RNA, 253 nt
Filed under: uncultured bacterium
Lineage: Bacteria
Description: partial 16S ribosomal RNA
Rfam family: Bacterial small subunit ribosomal RNA
Source: RNAcentral